RNAcentral lists this ribosomal RNA (337 nucleotides) under Palinustus waguensis. RNAcentral describes it as "partial 16S ribosomal RNA". The stretch from base 1 to 165 matches the Rfam family "Archaeal large subunit ribosomal RNA", at positions 1946 to 2143 of the family's 2987-position model. The record is from RNAcentral. Lineage: Eukaryota; Metazoa; Arthropoda; Malacostraca; Decapoda; Palinuridae.
CUAGCCUGCCCACUGAUAUUUAUUUUCAAGGGCCGCGGUAUAUUGAGCGUGCGAAGGUAGCAUAAUAAUUUGUCUCUUAAUUGGAGACUUGUAUGAAUGGUUGGACAAAAAAUAAGCUGUCUUUUUUGUAUUAUUUGAAUUUAACGUUUAAGUGAAAAGUCUUAAAUGUAAUAGGGGGACGAUAAGACCCUAUAAAUCUUUAUAUUUUUAAAGUCCUAAGUAGGCAUUAAGUUUAUAUUUGUAUUUAGUUCGGUAAAAAUAUUUUGUUGGGGCGACAUAAGUAUAAUAAGUAACUGCUUAUUAAAUAGAAUUAAUUAUAUUUAUUUUGGUAGCAAUU